GAACAGAUGUUGGUGGCAACGCACCGUGUGAUUAUCGCCACGGUGAUAGAGGAACAGAGGCGGCAGGCGGCCUUGGAUGGAUGCUGAGUUCCCAGUUGUCUUGAAAGCACCAAACAUCCAGAGAAUACCAGACUUUGAUGACAAAAUCUGAUGACAAAAUUUGCCCACGAAGGACAGCCGUGCCACCUUGCUGUUCAAGUGAGCACAGCACAACAAGACCCACAAAAUGCCUGGUGUUCACAAGUUUGGGAGUGAAGAGAGCGGGGGACUUUUGAGCUCUGGGCCCCUGUGGCUGUUUGCCUGGCUUUCUGACAUCAUAGGGUAAGGCAGUCUCUGAUCCGCCAGCUCAGAGACACCAUCUGAUCUGACAGGCUUAAUUGACUAUGUCAGCCCCUUCAAAACCAUUUCCCCCUCGCGCUGACAGCAAUCUAGAAUUGACAAAUUAGCAGAAACUUUAACCUUUAGACUGAUUAUAAUGUGUUCUGAGGGAAACAAAUGAACUUCUAUUUGUUAACGUCAGGCUUUGGUUCAAGUCGUAUAAAAAAAAGGAAAGGCAAUCUGGAGGAUGAUUUGGGAGAUUGUGUGUCAUAUAAAUUAAAUGUUUUGUCUUGGCUUUGAUGAAGAGUUCCAUUCUUGUUCUAGAGAUUGUGUGGUGUGUUUCACAGUAGAUGAGAUAUUUAAUUGCAGUUAUUGAUUUUGUAAUUUUCAACAAAAAGCUUUCGUUUUGUUCAGAUGUAUUUCUUUAGCGACUA
Oncorhynchus masou masou (cherry salmon) is the source of this 752-nucleotide long non-coding RNA. RefSeq lists it as uncharacterized. The record is from RefSeq and is a predicted model, not a curated record. The transcript has 3 exons. NCBI's taxonomy places the organism in Eukaryota, Metazoa, Chordata, Actinopteri, Salmoniformes, Salmonidae.